UAAUACAUCAGUGAUAUAUCAUCAUCCAGUUAUGAUAGACCCAUACCUGACUGCUCAAAAUCACUCGUGAGAAUUACUAUAUAAACAAUAAUUUUUUAAAUU
Molecule: non-coding RNA, 102 nt
Organism: Populus trichocarpa (black cottonwood)
Lineage: Eukaryota; Viridiplantae; Streptophyta; Magnoliopsida; Malpighiales; Salicaceae
Source: Rfam